This 456-nucleotide long non-coding RNA is filed under the name Malurus cyaneus samueli. RNAcentral's name for it is "lncRNA (ENSMCSG00000002921.1)". Lineage: Eukaryota; Metazoa; Chordata; Aves; Passeriformes; Maluridae. The record is from RNAcentral.
GUGGGGAUGUUUUUACUUGGAGAGAUUCUGCUCAAAGCUGAAUUUGUUCUGUUCUUUGUUCCAGCUUUGCUUCUAUCUUGGCGUAUAAAAUUCCUAAAGAGGACGUGCAGUCUCUGUCACAUUCUUUUUCCAAGCUGGAGGAAGUGAAACACGCCUUUAACAUCGAGGAGUACAGCUUUUCCCAAGCAACUCUGGAGCAGGUGUUUGUGGAGCUGGCCAAGGAGCAGGAGGAGGAGGACAGCAGCUUUGGCACCCUGAACAGCAGCCUGUGGUGGGACAGGACGCAGGAGGACCGAGUGAUUUUCUGAGCUCCUGGUGCCCGUGUGGGUGCCAGCACCCAUCCCCUCUGUGCUCCUGGGCACCCCUGGAGCUGGGCUGGAUGAGGGGAGCUGUGUUUGGGUGCCCUGGGUGUGUCCCAUCGUUCUGGGAUUUGGGAUAAUGCCACAGGAGCCGUGA